Molecule: ribosomal RNA, 506 nt
Filed under: uncultured Glomeromycotina
Lineage: Eukaryota; Fungi; Glomeromycota
Description: partial small subunit ribosomal RNA
Rfam family: Eukaryotic small subunit ribosomal RNA
Source: RNAcentral
CCAAUAGCGUAUAUUAAAGUUGUUGCAGUUAAAAAGCUCGUAGUUGAAUUUCGGGAUUGACACGUCGGUCGUGCCUUAAGGGGUAUGAACUGGCGUAGUCAAUUUCUCACCUUCUGGAGAACCGCGCUGUCCUUAAUUGGGUGACGCGGGGAACCAGGACCUUUACUUUGAAAAAAUUAGAGUGUUUAAAGCAGGCAUUUUGCUUGAAUACAUUAGCAUGGAAUAAUAAAAUAGGACGGCAUGAUUCUAUUUUGUUGGUUUCUAGGAUCACCGUAAUGAUUAAUAGGGAUAGUUGGGGGCAUUAGUAUUCAAUUGUCAGAGGUGAAAUUCUUGGAUUUAUUGAAGACUAACUACUGCGAAAGCAUUUGCCAAGGAUGUUUUCAUUAAUCAAGAACGAAAGUUAGGGGAUCGAAGACGAUCAGAUACCGUCGUAGUCUUAACCAUAAACUAUGCCGACUAGGAAUCAGACGAUGUUAAUUUUUUAAUGACUCGUUUGGCACCUUACG